RNAcentral lists this small nuclear RNA (287 nucleotides) under Chinchilla lanigera (long-tailed chinchilla). Its description in RNAcentral is "7SK RNA (ENSCLAG00000021681.1)". It matches the Rfam family "7SK RNA", at positions 1 to 288 of the family's 331-position model. From Rfam's summary of the family: 7SK was discovered as an abundant small nuclear RNA in the mid-70s but a possible function has only recently been suggested. Two independent studies have found that 7SK RNA binds the CDK9/cyclin T complex (known as elongation factor P-TEFb). Lineage: Eukaryota; Metazoa; Chordata; Mammalia; Rodentia; Chinchillidae. The record is from RNAcentral.
GGAUGUGAGGGCAAUCUGGCUGUGACAUCUUUCACCCCAUUGAUCAGCAGGGUUGAUUUGGCUGAUCUGGCUGGCUGGGUGGGUGUCCCCUUCCUCCCUCAAUGAUCCACGUGUGUCCCUCCCAAAGCUGCAUGCUCAGUCAUAGAGGACAACCACCCCUGAUAGAGGAGGAGUGUUCCUUAGUCAAGGAUAUAGAAGUAGCUGAACUUCCUUGCUGGAACCUCCAAACAAGCUCUCAAGGAUUAAGUCCAUUUGUUCACAGGUUUAGUUAAGUUCUAUAUCUCUUU